ACGUUCGUGCACUUUAGAGACAUUUUCCACCAAUUCCAAAUUUAUUAUUGGUUUCUUGCAGCUCUUAAAAGUUAAAAACUAUUUAAAUGAAGUUAACUAAGCAUCAUUUAUUUAUUUUUAUAAAGUAGUUAAAAAUAUUUCUUUUUAUUACAUGCAAAAGAUGAAAAAGAUGACUCGAAUCCAAUCUUUUUGUUAUGCUUUGAUAAUCUUUCUUUCUCUAGUUCUUGUCUCAGCCCAAAAAACUACACAUCCCUGCGUAAUAGAUGCUGAUUGUCCAGAAAAAUUAUGUAGAUCUCCUCUAUUUCCUGCUUGCAUUGAUCGUUUCUGUAAGUGUAUAUAAGUGUCACAAUCAAGUUGAAGAAAUAAUUUUGAUACAUGUAACCUUAAAAAGUUAUUUGUAUGUUGUAAUUUGGUACUCUUAUACUUUCAUUCAUGUUUUUUCACCUUUCAGUUUCUUUUACAUUGUAAUAUUAUACAAGUUACCUUCAUUUUAAUAAAUGAAAUAAUAUGUUGAAUAAAUAUUUACUC
Long non-coding RNA from Vicia villosa (hairy vetch), 528 nucleotides. RefSeq lists it as uncharacterized. The transcript has 2 exons. The record is from RefSeq and is a predicted model, not a curated record. NCBI's taxonomy places the organism in Eukaryota, Viridiplantae, Streptophyta, Magnoliopsida, Fabales, Fabaceae.